Camelus ferus (Wild Bactrian camel) is the source of this 72-nucleotide transfer RNA. It matches the Rfam family "tRNA". From Rfam's summary of the family: Transfer RNA (tRNA) molecules are approximately 80 nucleotides in length. Their secondary structure includes four short double-helical elements and three loops (D, anti-codon, and T loops). Further hydrogen bonds mediate the characteristic L-shaped molecular structure. tRNAs have two regions of fundamental functional importance: the anti-codon, which is responsible for specific mRNA codon recognition, and the 3' end, to which the tRNAs corresponding amino acid is attached (by aminoacyl-tRNA synthetases). tRNAs cope with the degeneracy of the genetic code in two manners: having more than one tRNA (with a specific anti-codon) for a particular amino acid; and 'wobble' base-pairing, i.e. permitting non-standard base-pairing at the 3rd anti-codon position. NCBI's taxonomy places the organism in Eukaryota, Metazoa, Chordata, Mammalia, Artiodactyla, Camelidae. The record is from Rfam.
GAGGGUGUAGCUCAGUGGUAGAGCACGUGCUAAGCAUGCACGAGGUCCUGGGUUCAAUCCCCAGUACCUCCA